This 116-nucleotide small nuclear RNA is filed under the name Sinocyclocheilus anshuiensis. RNAcentral describes it as "U5 spliceosomal RNA (ENSSANG00000016919.1)". It matches the Rfam family "U5 spliceosomal RNA". From Rfam's summary of the family: U5 RNA is a component of both types of known spliceosome. The precise function of this molecule is unknown, though it is known that the 5' loop is required for splice site selection and p220 binding, and that both the 3' stem-loop and the Sm site are important for Sm protein binding and cap methylation. Lineage: Eukaryota; Metazoa; Chordata; Actinopteri; Cypriniformes; Cyprinidae. The record is from Rfam by way of RNAcentral.
ACACUCAUGUUUCUCUUCAUAGCGUCUAAAUCUUUCGCCUUUUAUUAAAGAUUUCUGUGGGGAGGAGUACCAAGAGUAUAAUUAAAUUUUCUGAUGUUGUGUUUAAUUGCGGGGCU